ACAACUAAACACAACAUUACCAACCUGCUACAACUCAACACAACAUUACCAACCUGCUACAACUCAACACAACAUUACCAACCUGCUACAACUCAACACAACAUUACCAACCUGCUACAACUAAAUACAACAUUAUCAACCUGCUACAACAUUAUCAACCUGUACAACUAAACACAACAUUACCGACCUGCUACAACUCAACACAACAUUACCGACCUGCUACAACUCAACACAACAUUACCAACCUGCUACAACUCAACACAACAUUACCAACCUGCUACAACUAAAUACAACAUUAUCAACCUGCUACAACAUUAUCAACCUGUACAACUAAACACAACAUUAUCGACCUGCUACAACUAAACACAACAUUAUCGACCUGCUACACAGAGAGGAACCAAGCAUAAAUGUCUUUUUCCAUUGAUUGAAAAUAGCUGUCACUGCAGGGGGAUGUUUGUAGCCAUCUUUUCAUUUUAUUUUCUCCUUCAUGUGGGAACAUCUAUAAUAUUAGACCCAUCUCUUUAUUCUCUUGAAUGACCUGUACAGACCAGGGUCUGUACCGACCCCGAGCUGGACUGAGGAGGUUUUAUACAGACCAGGGUCUGUAUCGACCCAGAGCUGGACUGAGGAGGUUUUAUACAGACCAGGGUCUGUACCGAGCUGGACUGAGGAGGUUUUAUACAGACCAGGGUCUGUAUCGACCCAGAGCUGGACUGAGGGGUUUUAUACAGACCAGGGUCUGUACCGACCCAGAGCUGGACUGAGGAGGUUUUAUACAGACCAGGGUCUGUAUCGACCCCGAGCUGGACUGAGGAGGUUUUAUACAGACCAGGGUCUGUACCGACCCAGAGCUGGACUGAGGAGGUUUUAUACAGACCAGGGUCUGUGAUCAACCAAGAUGGACUGAGGAGGUUUUAUACAGACCAGGAUCUGUACCGACCCCGAGCUGGACUGAGGAGGUUUUAUACAGACCAGGGUCUGUACCGACCCCGAGCUGGACUGAGGAGGUUUUAUACAGACCAGGGUCUGUACCGACCCCGAGCUGGACUGAGGAGGUUUUAUACAGACCAGGGUCUGUACCGACCCCGAGCUGGACUGAGGAGGUUUUAUACAGACCAGGGUCUGUACUGAGCUGGACUGAGGAGGUUUUAUACAGACCAGGGUCUGUACCGACCCCGAGCUGGACUGAGGAGGUUUUAUACAGACCAGGGUCUGUGAUCAACCAAGAUGGACUGAGGAGGUUUUAUACAGACCAGGAUCUGUACCGACCCAGAACUGAACUGAGGAGGUUUUAUACAGACCAGGGUCUGUACCGACCCAGAGCUGGACUGAGGAGGUUUUAUACAGACCAGGGUCUGUACCGACCCAGAGCUGGACUGAGGAGGUUUUAUACAGACCAGGGUCUGUGAUCAACCAAGAUGGACUGAGGAGGUUUUAUACAGACCAGGGUCUGUACCGACCCAGAACUGGACUGAGGAGGUUUUAUACAGACCAGGGUCUGUACCGACCCCGAGCUGCACUGAGGAGGUUUUAUACAGACCAGGGUCUGUACCGACCCCGAGCUGGACUGAGGAGGUUUUAUACAGACCAGGGUCUGUACCGAGCUGGACUGAGGAGGUUUUAUACAGACCAGGGUCUGUAUCAACCCCGAGCUGGACUGAGGAGGUUUUAUACAGACCAGGGUCUGUACCGACCCAGAGCUGGACUGAGGAGGUUUUAUACAGACCAGGGUCUGUAUCGACCCAGAGCUGGACUGAGGGGUUUUAUACAGACCAGGGUCUGUACCGAGCUGGACUGAGGAGGUUUUAUACAGACCAGGAUCUGUACCGACCCAGAACUGGACUGAGGAGGUUUUAUACAGACCAGGGUCUGUAUCGACCCAGAGCUGGACUGAGGAGGUUUUAUACAGACCAGGGUCUGUACCGACCCAGAACUGGACUGAGGAGGUUUUAUACAGACCAGGGUCUGUACCGACCCAGAGCUGGACUGAGGAGGUUUUAUACAGACCAGGGUCUGUGAUCAACCAAGAUGGACUGAGGAGGUUUUAUACAGACCAGGAUCUGUACCGAGCUGGACUGAGGAGGUUUUAUACAGACCAGGGUCUGUAUCGACCCAGAGCUGGACUGAGGGGUUUUAUACAGACCAGGGUCUGUACCGACCCAGAGCUGGACUGAGGAGGUUUUAUACAGACCAGGGUCUGUAUCGACCCCGAGCUGGACUGAGGAGGAUUUAUACAGACCAGGGUCUGUACCGAGCUGGACUGAGGGGUUUUAUACAGACCAGGGUCUGUACCGAGCUGGACUGAGGAGGUUUUAUACAGACCAGGGUCUGUACCGACCCAGAGCUGGACUGAGGAGGUUUUAUACAGACCAGGGUGUGUACCGAGCUGGACUGAGGAGGUUUUAUACAGACCAGGGUCUGUAUCAACCCCGAGCUGGACUGAGGAGGUUUGAUACAGACCAGGGUCUGUACCGACCCAGAGCUGGACUGAGGAGGUUCUAUACCUGGUCUGUGUUCAACCAAGAUGGAAGAGGAACGACUCAAACAUCCGAAUCUUAGUGCCAAGGUUACCGUGGAAACAGAGGAGGGGAACUGAUUUGUCUAAGUAACUAAUAUUAAAACAUUAAAAAAAUAAGUGUUAUGUAAAGUUGUUAUUGUCUAUUUGUUGGAGCGUAAACAGAGAAACACCAGAUGGGACGAUGUGCGUUGUUGUCCUGUCAGGAGUGGAUUGAUUGAUUGAUUGAUUGAUUGAUUGAUUGAUUGAUUGAUU
RNAcentral lists this long non-coding RNA (2770 nucleotides) under Salmo salar (Atlantic salmon). RNAcentral describes it as "lncRNA (ENSSSAG00000092404.1)". Lineage: Eukaryota; Metazoa; Chordata; Actinopteri; Salmoniformes; Salmonidae. The record is from RNAcentral.